UAUGGCCAUAUCAUGUUGAAACACUGGUUCUCAUUUGAUUACCAAAGUUAAGUAACAUUGAUCCAGCUUAGUACCUACAUGGGUGAUUACUUGGGAAUACCAGGUGCUGUAAG
This is a non-coding RNA of Acanthosepion pharaonis, 113 nucleotides long. NCBI's taxonomy places the organism in Eukaryota, Metazoa, Mollusca, Cephalopoda, Sepiida, Sepiidae. The record is from the annotation of a GenBank genome assembly.